AAAAAUAGAAAUGUUGAUAAAAAAAAAACUCACAAACUCACUUUUAAGUUGAAAUUAAUGUCAUAAUAUUUUAUAAUUUGUUUAUUAUUUAUUGGUGUCAAAUCUAUCUUAUAUAUUUUUUCAUAAGAUCAUUUUUCUCUCUUAUUUCUUUUUCUUUUUCCUUCUUCGAAACCUAAAACCUAGACAAAGGGAGGGUUGUGCAGUGCAAGAGCAAGAGAGAGGAACAGCGAGACGUAUUGGGAAAAAAGGAGAAGAAGACAGACGGAGAGUGAGAAUUGUGAUAUUCGAAGAGUUUUCGAGUUAAGAGAUCGCCGAAAGGACUUCAGAUUAAGGUAGGAGGAGUUAAACUUUUCUGUUUUGUGAUUAUUAUGAUGUGCGAAGCUUUUAUGCUGAUUCUAUGUCUUUUUGUUCUGGUUGAGUACGAAUUUUUGUGUGUCUGAGUUGUAUUCUCCGUGCCAGGCUAAUGUUUCGUUGGUCCUGCCUUACUGUUUUUGAUUGAGGAUAACGAGAUGUUUUUGGUUGAGACACAGACAUUUUUUUUUUCUUCCAUAAAGAACCAAUUAUUUUCUCCAUUCCUUGUUCUAUGAUAAAUUGCAGGAUAACAUGUGUUGGUUUGACAAGUUUCAGAAAUUUAAUGCAUUUAAGAAUAGUUUUUCUAAAAGUAAGGGACACAGGUGUUUAUAUUUCAUUUUUAUGAGUGUUCUGCACUUUUGAUCUUGUACUACUUUGCUGUGGUUCUUCCUUGAUGGGCCUCGUGGUUCAAUAAGUGGUAUUUUACUCCUCUUAGUGCGUGAAUAUAUAUAUAUAUAUAUAUAUAUAUAUAUAUAUAUAUAUAUAUAUAUAUAUAUUUUUAAGUUGGACAUUUUUUUUUGUGUCUUUUUAAUAGAAAAAUCCAAGGUUUGCAAUAUCCCAAAAGUUAGACAAAACAACAAUUUUUCUCUGCAUAAUUACUUUGUGUUGGGUCAUACCUUUUGCACUUAUGGAUAGGACUUUUUCUAGUUUUUGCACCAAGCUGUUGUCCACUCAUUAAGUCACUGAAUAAGAUCUUUUAGGUGGAACCAAUUUGGCUUUGAUCCAAAAUGCAUGUGUGCUUUGAUUGACAGCUCGUGUAAUUUUCGUUUGGCUAUGCGUUAUUUCUUAAAUUGCUAUGCCAUGCCUUUUAUCCUUAGUUAAGUAGAGCGUUGAUGGAUAGUUAUUCACUUUUAUUCAUGUUAAAUUUAAUAUAGUGCAGGUUUUCCUUUUAGUCACUUCUGAAAUUGUUAUGCCAUGUUUCCUUUUUUAUUAUGCAGUGCCCUAUAUUUAUAUUUUUUAUAUAUUAUUAGACCACUGAAAUUCAUAGUUUAUUAUUCCCAUUUUGUUAUGAUGAAGAUUAAUGAAUUAUGUUGUUUAUUUCUUUAGAUGUUUUGGUACUUGAUGUAUAGAAGUAAAGAUAAUAGGAUAUUAGUUUGGAAUGUAUUUUGGUGUAUGUGAUGUUUGGUGGCUAUCCUAAUGAGCUACAGAUCUAGAAAAGAGUUGGAUAAUGUUUAGCUUUAUAAUCGAUAUAACUGCUGUGGGAUUGAUAGUGGACCUUUGAAUGUGUUUUUAAUUGUUAUUAUAUAUUAUAUGUCGUGGUUGUAUGUUUUAUGCACUUGUAAUGCGCUGUGGAGGAGUUUUUUGCUGUUGUGUAUAAUACACAUGGUGAUAAACUUGAUACGAAUGUUAGUGUAGUCAAAUGGUUUAUAUUGUGGUAUAAAUAGUUAUAGAUGUGUUGGACACUUGGCAAAAUAAUGAUUAUGCCAUGUUAGUAUUCAAGCAACGUGGUUAUGAUAGUUUAUGUUGUGUGUGGUAUUUUAUAAGUUGUUUUAUGAGGAUAGGUAUUGUGUGGUGGUGAAACCAUAUCUGUGUAUGUUCAUUGUUGUUUCGAAUAAAGUAUACAUUUUUAUGCAUUUUGUUUUUGUGUGUGCAUGUGCAAUGAUCGUUAUGUUGUAUUAGAGUUUAUAUAAGAAUGCAAAUGAUUAUACAGGUGUAGAAGAUUAUAUUGACGAGUGAGAGAUGGGAUAAAGACAGGGAAAAUUUAUAAGAGACAUGCAUAUUUAAUAUAUGAUUUUGAAUCGUUUUGUAGUCGUGUAUUUUUAUAUUUAAUCACUGAGUUGUAAAUAUUAAAUAACCAUGAUGUGGAAUAUAGAAAUUUCUUUUUAUAGAUUUCUGAUCGAUUAAAAUAAAAUGAUUCUAUUCAUGAUUCUGAAAAUUUUAAAUUUUUACACAUUUAUGUGAAGGCGUUACAGUAGGUAUUAGAGUCAAUAUGUUUAGGUGACUCACUAAUUGUUAAUCACAUAAUAAUCAUGUCCUCAACAAAGUUUGGGUUUGAGAACCCUUCCGGAGUAUACUACAAAUCACAUUUGAAAAUGAU
Molecule: long non-coding RNA, 2389 nt
Filed under: Vigna radiata
Lineage: Eukaryota; Viridiplantae; Streptophyta; Magnoliopsida; Fabales; Fabaceae
Description: long non-coding RNA (VRAD_LNC011673)
Source: RNAcentral